This 254-nucleotide long non-coding RNA is filed under the name Elaeis guineensis (African oil palm). RNAcentral's name for it is "long non-coding RNA (EGUI_LNC011301)". The record is from RNAcentral. Lineage: Eukaryota; Viridiplantae; Streptophyta; Magnoliopsida; Arecales; Arecaceae.
UCUCUUUCUAACCUGCCCUUCUCGAAACUAGUCUGCGCUUAUUACAAAUUAUUACAUGACGGAUCCGUCUUUUCCGAUCUAUUUCUUAAUCAGCCUGUUAGUUAGUAUCUACUGGUAAUCUGGCGACCGUAACAGGCUAUGUAUUCCCACCCCUUGCUUUAAAACCUGCAAAUCUGGUACUUCAGACCUCUGAAAUCUCUGUAAAUCUGCUUCCUCUCAACCUAUCUUCUGCUAAACUAUAACCCUAUUGUACC